This 258-nucleotide ribosomal RNA is filed under the name uncultured Staphylococcus sp. RNAcentral describes it as "partial 16S ribosomal RNA". It matches the Rfam family "Bacterial small subunit ribosomal RNA", at positions 103 to 355 of the family's 1533-position model. The record is from RNAcentral. Lineage: Bacteria; Bacillati; Bacillota; Bacilli; Caryophanales; Staphylococcaceae.
CGGGUGAGUAACACGUGGAUAACCUACCUAUAAGACUGGGAUAACUUCGGGAAACCGGAGCUAAUACCGGAUAAUAUAUUGAACCGCAUGGUUCAAUAGUGAAAGACGGUUUUGCUGUCACUUAUAGAUGGAUCCGCGCUGCAUUAGCUAGUUGGUAAGGUAACGGCUUACCAAGGCAACGAUGCGUAGCCGACCUGAGAGGGUGAUCGGCCACACUGGAACUGAGACACGGUCCAGACUCCUACGGGAGCAGCAGCA